Molecule: ribosomal RNA, 360 nt
Filed under: uncultured bacterium
Lineage: Bacteria
Description: partial 16S ribosomal RNA
Rfam family: Bacterial small subunit ribosomal RNA
Source: RNAcentral
CCUACGGGAGGCAGCAGUGGGGAAUAUUGCGCAAUGGGCGAAAGCCUGACGCAGCGACGCCGCGUGAGGGAUGAAGGUCUUCGGAUCGUAAACCUCUGUCAGCAGGGAAGAACGGUCACUGUGCUAAUCAGCAGUGAAUUGCCGGUACCUGCAAAGGAACCACCGGCUAAAUCCGUGCCAGCAGCCGCGGUGAUACGGUGGGUGCGAGCGUUAAUCGGAAUUACUGGGGGUAAAGCGCUCGUAGGCGGGAUGUCAAGUCAAGGGUGAAAUCCCCGCGCGCAACGUGGGAACAGCCUUUGAAACUGGCAAACUGGAGGGUGUGGAGGGAUAGUGGGAUUCCAGGUGUAGGAGGGAAAUCCG